This is a long non-coding RNA of Syzygium oleosum, 756 nucleotides long. RefSeq lists it as uncharacterized. NCBI's taxonomy places the organism in Eukaryota, Viridiplantae, Streptophyta, Magnoliopsida, Myrtales, Myrtaceae. The transcript is spliced from 2 exons. The record is from RefSeq and is a predicted model, not a curated record.
UCACAAGAGUUAAGCUGUCUGACUCAACUAGAAGACUCUCACUCGUGCUUGUCUUGCUAAAAAAUCUUAGCGUUUCAACCAACGCCAGAGCCUCCGUCUGUGCGGCCGAGCUCGACCUCACCUCCAUCGCGAAACCAUCAAUUAACUGUCCAUGGCAGUUCGGCCCAACACAGCUGAUGGCCCCAGUCGUCGAUCCUUCAACUAAGGAAGCAUCCACGUUGAAUUUAAGGGUUCCGUUGCGGGGUUUUUUCCAAAUCUGAGGAACUUUCUUGCGGAAGAUGAAGCCAUUCCUUUCUUUCCAUAUACACCAAAGAACAGUGGCAACGAGGUCAAAGCUCACCGAGGUAUGUUGAAGAUUUAGAAUUCCAUGGAAGUACUUGAGGAUGUUCUUUAAUUUCUCAUCACUUUCCUUGCUAGGAAAGACAGGGAAUUAAAGGUCAACAGUUUUCAGUGUCUACAAUCGAUUCUUGCCAUUGAGAGUUGAGAUAAUGUUCCAACUGAUGGGGCUCUUCUUUCAACACUCAAGAUGAUGACUCGUAAGUCAUAACUUCCCAAUUGAGUUGUGGAGAUGGACAUGGCCGCGAAGGGAUAAUUCGAGUCAAUUGUUAUCUUCCCAAAGAUUGAGACAUCCAUGUUCAACAAGUGAAAAUGACUCGUUCUCACUCGCUCUGUCCGCGAUCCACUGUUGUAGCUCAAUAGCGGUCCAACCUACGUAAUUUCAAUCAUCCAAUAAAGUAAACUUCCAUUUCUUUGUAA